RNAcentral lists this transfer RNA (76 nucleotides) under Clostridia bacterium. RNAcentral describes it as "tRNA-Thr". It matches the Rfam family "tRNA". Rfam says of the family: Transfer RNA (tRNA) molecules are approximately 80 nucleotides in length. Their secondary structure includes four short double-helical elements and three loops (D, anti-codon, and T loops). Further hydrogen bonds mediate the characteristic L-shaped molecular structure. tRNAs have two regions of fundamental functional importance: the anti-codon, which is responsible for specific mRNA codon recognition, and the 3' end, to which the tRNAs corresponding amino acid is attached (by aminoacyl-tRNA synthetases). tRNAs cope with the degeneracy of the genetic code in two manners: having more than one tRNA (with a specific anti-codon) for a particular amino acid; and 'wobble' base-pairing, i.e. permitting non-standard base-pairing at the 3rd anti-codon position. The record is from RNAcentral. Lineage: Bacteria; Bacillati; Bacillota; Clostridia.
GCUGAUGUAGCUCUAGCGGUAGAGCGCAUCCAUGGUAAGGAUGAGGUCGCGGGUUCAAAUCCCGCCAUCAGCUCCA